GUUCAAAAGAGGAAAGGCUUGCGGUGGACCUAGGCACCCAGAGACGAGGAAGGGCGUAGCAAGCGACGAAAUGCUUCAGGGAGUUGAAAAUAAGCAUAGAUCCGGAGAUUCCCAAAUAGGUCAACCUUUUAAACUGCCUGCUGAAUCCAUGAGCAGGCAAGAGACAACCUGGCGAACUGAAACAUCUUAGUAGCCAGAGGAAAAGAAAGCAAAAGCGAUUCCCGUA
Triticum aestivum (bread wheat) is the source of this 226-nucleotide non-coding RNA. Lineage: Eukaryota; Viridiplantae; Streptophyta; Magnoliopsida; Poales; Poaceae. The record is from Rfam.